This 855-nucleotide ribosomal RNA is filed under the name uncultured Rhodospirillales bacterium. Its description in RNAcentral is "bacterial SSU rRNA". It matches the Rfam family "Bacterial small subunit ribosomal RNA", at positions 28 to 906 of the family's 1533-position model. Lineage: Bacteria; Pseudomonadati; Pseudomonadota; Alphaproteobacteria; Rhodospirillales. The record is from RNAcentral.
UGACUACGCUGGCGGCAGGCUUAACACAUGCAAGUCGCAGGAGAAGGAGGCUUCGGCUCAGUGGACACUGGCGGACGGGUGAGUAACGUGUGGGGACCUACCCUGGGGUGGGGGACAACCACUGGAAACGGUGGCUAAUACCGCAUACGCCCCUUUUGUUUAGGCAUUUGGGGGAAAACUCCGGUGCCCUGGGAUGGCCCCGCGUCGGAUUAGCUAGUUGGUGGGGUAACGGCCUACCAAGGCGACGAUCCGUAGCUGGUCUGAGAGGAUGACCAGCCACACUGGAACUGAGACACGGUCCAGACUCCUACGGGAGGCAGCAGUGGGGAAUAUUGGACAAUGGGGGCAACCCUGAUCCAGCCAUGCCGCGUGUGUGAAGAAGGCCAAAAGGUUGCAAAACACUUUCAGCGGGGAAGAUGAUGACGGUACCCGCAGAAGAAGCCCCGGCUAACUCCGUGCCAGCAGCCGCGGUAAUACGGAGGGGGCUAGCGUUGUUCGGAAUUGCUGGGCGUAAAGGGCGUGUAGGCGGCCUGCCAAGUCAGAUGUGAAAGCCCCGGGCUUAACCUGGGAAGUGCAUUUGAGACUGGCCGGCUAGAGGUUGGAAGAGGAGAGUGGAAUUCCCAGUGUAGAGGUGAAAUUCGUAGAUGCAGGGAAGAACACCAGUGGCGAAGGCGGCUCUCUGGUCCACACCUGGCGCUGAGGCGCGAUCACGUGGGGAGCAAACAGGAUUAGAUACCCUGGUAGUCCACGCGCUAAACGAUGUGUGCUAGACGUCGGAUGUUACGCAUUCGGUGUCGCCGCUAACGCAUUAAGCACACCGCCUGGGGAGUACGGCCGCAAGGUUAAGACACAUAC